CACGACUGAGCAACUUCACUUUCACUUUUCACUUUCAUGCACUGGAGAAGGAAAUGGCAACACACUCCAGUGUUCUUGCCUGCAGAAUCCCAGGGAUGGGGGAGCCUGGUGGGCUGCCGUCUAUGGGGUCACACAGAGUCGGACACGACUGAAGUGACUUAGCAGCAGCAGCAGCAGUACCAAUAUAAAAAGGCAGAUUCUUUACCAGCUGGCCACCAGGGAAGCUCACAGAGGGCAAGCUGCAAUUUCAUUCAUGCCUGGCACUGAUGGAAUACAUGUUCACAUUUUUGAAGGUUCUCAACUUGAAGUCUUCAUCUCAGCUGAUAAAAAAUCCAUUCUUCCAGUGGAAUCCUACCUUCACCGUAUAUCCAAAAUGUGACCACUUGUUACUACUUCCACUGUUACACUACGAUCUGGGUCACCCUCACGUCUUGCCAGGAUUAUUGUAAUAGUCUUUUAACAGGUCACUCUGCAUCUAUUCUUGUCUCCCUACAGUCAUUUUCAGAAGAACAGCUAAAGUGACCCUGUCAAAACCCAAGUUAGAUUAUGAGCCUUUCAAUGGCUCCCGUUUUAUUCACAGUGAAUGUCAGACUUCUUAGAGUCUCACAAGAGUCCCUUACCCCUCUUAAUCUCCCAACUUGUCACUGCUCCAGCCACGGUGGACUCCAUGCUGUUCCUUCAACAAUCCAGGCAACCUCUGACCUCAGAAACUUUGUUCAUGUUAUUCCCUUCACCUAGAAAAUUCUUCCCCGAAAUAUCUGCAUGCCUUAUUCACUCACUUCCUUUAAGUAUCUUGUUCAAAUAUCCUUUUUAAAUGAGUUCUACUCUGAUCCUCCCUUGUUUAUAAUUACAAUCCCC
Bos taurus (domestic cattle) is the source of this 858-nucleotide long non-coding RNA. NCBI's taxonomy places the organism in Eukaryota, Metazoa, Chordata, Mammalia, Artiodactyla, Bovidae. The record is from Ensembl.